CCUACGGGAGGCAGCAGUGGGGAAUAUUGCACAAUGGGGGAAACCCUGAUGCAGCGACGCCGCGUGAGUGAAGAAGUAUUUCGGUAUGUAAAGCCCUAUCAGCAGGGAAGAAAAUGACGGUAUCUGACUAAGAAGCCCCGGCUAACUACGUGCCAGCAGCCGCGGUAAUACGUAGGGGGCAAGCGUUAUCCGGAUUUACUGGGUGUAAAGGGAGCGUAGACGGCAGAACAAGUCUGGAGUGAAAUGCCGGGGCUUAACCCCAGAACUGCUUUGGAAACUGUGCAGCUAGAGUGCAGGAGAGGUAAGUGGAAUUCCUGGUGUAGCGGUGAAAUGCGUAGAGAUUAGGAGGAACACCAGUGGCGAAGGCGGCUUACUGGACUGUAACUGACGUUGAGGCGCGAAAGCGUGGGGAGCAAACAGGAUUAGAUACCCGGGUAGUC
Molecule: ribosomal RNA, 440 nt
Filed under: uncultured bacterium
Lineage: Bacteria
Description: partial 16S ribosomal RNA
Rfam family: Bacterial small subunit ribosomal RNA
Source: RNAcentral